Arachis stenosperma is the source of this 2986-nucleotide long non-coding RNA. RefSeq lists it as uncharacterized. NCBI's taxonomy places the organism in Eukaryota, Viridiplantae, Streptophyta, Magnoliopsida, Fabales, Fabaceae. The transcript is spliced from 5 exons. The record is from RefSeq and is a predicted model, not a curated record.
UUCCAGAAACUAAACUCCAGUUAGCUACUCACAAUUUUCAUCAAUCACCUUCUACUCAAACCAAUUUUUUUUAUUAUUCUUUUUUAAAUCCCUUCUGAUCACCAGAGCUAUCUCGAUUAUCCAUAUAAUAGCACUAUACUCUUAAUUUUCCUCCAACAACAUACAUACAUAUAGCUACUCCUACUAUAGCAGCAGCUAUCCAUAUAAUAGCACUUUCCCUGCAUCUAAGUAUUUGCACAAGUAAACGGGUUCAUGGAAUUAGCUUUCAUGCUUGUAAUCACGUGAAUUCAUUCGUUCUUCAAAGAAGUGGAUCUCAUUCAGGAGAGAGAGAGAGUGAAGACUAAAGAGAGAAGCACUUCAGAUGUUUUGGAUCUGUGUUUCUGUGUUUUUUCUGUGUUUUGGAUGAUAGAUUGUAGGACUUGAUUUUUAUUUAAAUUAAAAGUGUUAUUUUUAUUUAAAGUAUUGCUAAACAAAUAAGUUAUACUUUUUAAACAAGAAUUAUCAUAAAAAAAUGUUUUUGGUAUCUUUACGUGAGUAGUUGUCUAAUUGCAUAAUCGAUUUCUUCUUGACUAUCCUACAUAUAUAAUAUUUUUUUAAUUGCAUGCUAGUAUGGUAUCAGUGUCGAUAUCAUCAUUCUGCUUCCGAAAAAAUAGAACAAAUGUAGGACUGACAAAGUUAAGAAGAAAUCAAUUAAUAAACGACAUAACCUAAAGCAAAAUAUAUACAUUAUAUAUGCAUAGAAAAUAUAGAAAUUCAAAAAGGGUUAUUCAGUCUCUCACGUUGUAAUAAAUAAAGUAACAAAUAACCAACAAAAAUAUAAAAUACAAAAUAGCAAGAUAAUCACUAAAUUAAAAGUUGUGUGAUAUAAUUUGGAUAAAAAGUCAAAGUUAUUAUUGGUUUAAUGUGAAAAUUGAUUAAUAAAUUGCAGCGAUGCUAUGAAUGAUUACAUAGAAGAAGUCAAAAGAAUAGCAUGUGAGAUUCUUGAUCUUGUGAUAGAGGGUUUGAGAGUCCAAGACAAGUUUACACUUAGCAAACUAAUCAAAGACGUGCAAAGUGACUCGGUGCUGAGGAUCAAUCACUACCCUCCCAGCAUGAACAAAAUUAAACAAAGUACUUGGGAUUGGGACAUGGACCCAUGUGCUACUUCAAAUUUGAUGGAGAAGCAAGCAGUUAAUAAGGGGUGUCAUGGUGAACCUUAAACUGGUCAAGCCGAGAGUUCCCAAGUGCUAAGUGCAAAUUUGUCUUGGACCCCCAAAUUCUCUACCACAAGAUCAAGAAUCUCACAUGCUACUCCUUAGGCUCUUUCUAUGUAAUCAUUCACAGCACCGCUGUAAUUUAUCAAUCAAUUUUCACAUUAAACUAAUAAUAACUUUAAUUUUUUGCCCAAAUUAUAUCACACAAUCUUUAAUUUAGUGGUUAUCUUGCUAUCUUGUAUUUUAUAUUUUUGUUGAUUAUUUGUUAUUUUAUUUAUUACAACCUGAUACACAGAAUAAACCCCUUUUUGAAUUUCUAUAUUUUCUAUGCAUAUAUAGGGUAUAUAUUAUGCUUUGGGUUGUGUCAUUUAUUAAUUGAUUUCUUUUUGACUUUGUCAGUAUUACAUUUGCUAUAUUUUUUUGGAAGCAGAAUGAUGAUAUCGACACUAAUACCAUACUAACAUGCAAUAAAAAAAAAUAUUAUAUAUGUAGGAUAGUCAAGGAAAAAUCGAUUAUACAAUUAGGCAACUAUUUACGUGAAGAUAUCAAAAAUGUCUUUUUAUGAUAAUUCUUGUUUAAAAAGGAUAACUUAUUUGUUUAGCAACAGUUUAAAUAAAAAUAACACUUUUACUUUAAAUAAAAAUCAAGUCAUACAAUCUAUUAUCCAAUGAUCAAAAUAAUGUAUCUUCACAUGAUGACAAUCAUUAAAUCUUCAUUGGAGUAACCACCGUGCAAUUAUAGGGUUCAACCAACAAACCAAAAUUUGUAAAGAUUGUUGGUUUUGCAAGUUGUGGUUUAUUUGCACUGAUAAUUCUUGGGGCUAUCUCUGUAUAUAGAUACAAUCACAUGCAUAGACAUAAAACUGAUGUCUUUUUUGAUGUUUCAGGUGAAGAUGAGAGCCAAAUUUUCUUUUGGCAACUGAGAUGAUUUUCAUGGCGUGAACUGCAACACGCGACUAAAAAUUUCCGCAAAAGCAAUGUAAUUGGCACAUGAGGAUUUGGAAAAGUUUAUAAAGGAGUACUCUCUUUUUUUAGUUCUCAGGUCAGUUUGGGCAUCAUGCCCAAUUUUUGCUUUAACACCCUUUUUUUUUUGGAAUAUAUGUAUUUUCAUAAUUUUUUCAGAAAGAUCAAAUUUUGUAACCCUUCCCUUUAUUGUAGCUCUCUUGUUCAGCCUUUUAUUUUUGUCCACAUCUGAAAAUUAAAGCCGGAGCUAUCAUCAUGUUUAAAGAGAUUUGUUUUGAAUAUUGUUUCACUCAAAGUAACUUAUUUAAUAAAGACACUAGAAGAUUUCACAUCCCCAUUGUUGUCACGUUUGCUUAUAGUUAUAGAGAUAAAGUGAAAGAUAUAAGAUUAACUAAGCCAAAUUCACGUGAUCCAUCAAUAAUAAUAUAAUCUCAAUAAACUAACAUCUAAGACACACAGAUAUUUUUCUCCCUUUCUUCUAAAGUGCCACUGCCAAGUAUUACCUACUAUAUAUUUUUUCUUGUUCCCCUAAUUAAUCAAGUGGGCCUUCAAUAAUUGAGAAUUAUAGAAAUGGAGGAAGAAGGGGAUCAGAGUAGAUAUGCAUACAUGAUACAUGCAAGAGAGUAGGUACUAUCAAAGAAAGGAGCAAGUCAAUUAUUUUUCAAUUUUAUAUGUGAAAUUAAACUUCUAUAAUUGUCUCCCUCAAUUAAGAUCUAGGCUCAAUUCCUGAGAACUAAGAAGGCAGAAUAGAAUGCUUGUUGCGAAAGCAAAGGAUGCAAUCAAGACAUGUAUAUGCUACUACAGUAUCUUAGCACAUGAGUAUAAACACAU